UGUAAAAAUACUCCUUUAAAAGCUUGCCUUGUAAUUCAAGCCACUUUCAGAAAUCAUGAGGUACUCGGAAGGAAACCAUGAUCUAUUUCUGGCACCAAGGGAUGGUGGAAAAGGAGAAAAAAUGGAAAUGCAAACUGUGUGCACUAUCUGCUCUGAACUGUAAACAUCAAUGCGGAAUUGUUGGCAGAUGGCUUGUUUCUAUUUUGUUGGUUUUCAGAACUGAGGCCAUAAUUAAGAGGGAUGCUUGGGGGCAUUAGUAUUGUGUCACUAAAGGUGAAAUUCUUGGACCAGUGCAAGACGGACCAGAGGGAAAGCAUUUGGCAAGAAUGUUUUCAUUAAUCAAGAAAAAAAGUCGGAGGUUCAAAGACGAUCAGACACUGUCAUAAUUCUGACCAUAAAUGAUGCUGACUGUGGAUGCAGCGGCGUUAUUCCCUUGAUCCCGGGCAGCUUCCAGGAAACCUAAGUCUUUUGGUUCUGGAGGGAAUAUGGUUGCAAAGCAGAAACUUAAAGUAAUUGAUGGAAGGGCAC
This 528-nucleotide non-coding RNA is filed under the name Cricetulus griseus (Chinese hamster). Its description in RNAcentral is "Eukaryotic small subunit ribosomal RNA". It matches the Rfam family "Eukaryotic small subunit ribosomal RNA", at positions 636 to 1167 of the family's 1831-position model. Lineage: Eukaryota; Metazoa; Chordata; Mammalia; Rodentia; Cricetidae. The record is from Rfam by way of RNAcentral.